Molecule: ribosomal RNA, 465 nt
Filed under: Vreelandella stevensii
Lineage: Bacteria; Pseudomonadati; Pseudomonadota; Gammaproteobacteria; Oceanospirillales; Halomonadaceae
Description: partial 16S ribosomal RNA
Rfam family: Bacterial small subunit ribosomal RNA
Source: RNAcentral
CCUACGGGUGGCAGCAGUGGGGAAUAUUGGACAAUGGGGGCAACCCUGAUCCAGCCAUGCCGCGUGUGUGAAGAAGGCCCUCGGGUUGUAAAGCACUUUCAGUGAGGAAGAACGCCUGGUGGUUAAUACCCAUUAGGAAAGACAUCACUCACAGAAGAAGCACCGGCUAACUCCGUGCCAGCAGCCGCGGUAAUACGGAGGGUGCGAGCGUUAAUCGGAAUUACUGGGCGUAAAGCGCGCGUAGGUGGCUUGAUAAGCCGGUUGUGAAAGCCCCGGGCUCAACCUGGGAACGGCAUCCGGAACUGUCAAGCUAGAGUGCAGGAGAGGAAGGUAGAAUUCCCGGUGUAGCGGUGAAAUGCGUAGAGAUCGGGAGGAAUACCAGUGGCGAAGGCGGCCUUCUGGACUGACACUGACACUGAGGUGCGAAAGCGUGGGUAGCAAACAGGAUUAGAUACCCGAGUAGUC